UUGGAGGGCAAGUCUGGUGCCAGCAGCCGCGGUAAUUCCAGCUCCAAUAGCGUAUAUUAAAGUUGUUGCAGUUAAAAAGCUCGUAGUUGAAUUUCGGGGUCAGUAGGUUGGUCGUGCCACUGGUAUGCACUGGUCUCACUGAUUCCUCCUUCCUGAUGAACCGUAAUGCCAUUAAUUUGGUGUUGCGGGGAAUCUGGACUGUUACUUUGAAAAAAUUAGAGUGUUUAAAGCAGGCUAACGCUUGAAUACAUUAGCAUGGAAUAAUGAAAUAGGACGAUCGAUCCUAUUUUGUUGGUUUCUAGGAUUGACGUAAUGAUUAGUAGGGAUAGUUGGGGGCAUUAGUAUUCAAUUGUCAGAGGUGAAAUUCUUGGAUUUAUUGAAGACUAACUACUGCGAAAGCAUUUGCCAAGGAUGUUUUCAUUAAUCAAGAACGAAAGUUAGGGGAUCGAAGACGAUCGGAUACCGUCGUAGUCUUAACCAUAAACUAUGCCGACUAGGGAUCGGAUGAUGUUAAUUUUUUAAUGACUCAUUCGGCGCCUUACGGGAAA
Molecule: ribosomal RNA, 548 nt
Filed under: uncultured Glomeromycotina
Lineage: Eukaryota; Fungi; Glomeromycota
Description: SSU rRNA
Rfam family: Eukaryotic small subunit ribosomal RNA
Source: RNAcentral